UAAGGAAUAUUGGUCAAUGGACGCAAGUCUGAACCAGCCAUGCCGCGUGAAGGAUGAAGGUCCUCUGGAUUGUAAACUUCUUUUAUCUGGGACGAAAACGGGAUUUUUAUCUCAAUUGACGGCACCAGAGGAAUAAGCACCGGCUAACUCCGUGCCAGCAGCCGCGGUAAUACGGAGGGCGCGAGCGUUAUCCGGAUUUACUGGGUUUAAAGGGUGCGUAGGUGGGCUUAUAAGUCAGUGGUGAAAUCUCCGAGCUUAACUUGGAAACUGCCGUUGAUACUAUAGGUCUUGAAUUAUCUGGAGGUAAGCGGAAUAUGUCAUGUAGCGGUGAAAUGCUUAGAUAUGACAUAGAACACCAAUUGCGAAGGCAGCUUACUACAUAUAAAUUGAUGCUGAGGCACGAAAGCGUGGGGAUCAAACA
This 421-nucleotide ribosomal RNA is filed under the name uncultured bacterium. RNAcentral's name for it is "bacterial SSU rRNA". It matches the Rfam family "Bacterial small subunit ribosomal RNA", at positions 355 to 774 of the family's 1533-position model. The record is from RNAcentral.